AGUGAACGCUGGCGGUAGGCCUAACACAUGCAAGUCGAACGGCAGCACAGUAAGAGCUUGCUCUUACGGGUGGCGAGUGGCGGACGGGUGAGGAAUACAUCGGAAUCUACUUUUUCGUGGGGGAUAACGUAGGGAAACUUACGCUAAUACCGCAUACGACCUACGGGUGAAAGCAGGGGGUCUUCGGACCUUGCGCGAUUGAAUGAGCCGAUGUCGGAUUAGCUAGUUGGCGGGGUAAAGGCCCACCAAGGCGACGAUCCGUAGCUGGUCUGAGAGGAUGAUCAGCCACACUGGAACUGAGACACGGUCCAGACUCCUACGGGAGGCAGCAGUGGGGAAUAUUGGACAAUGGGCGCAAGCCUGAUCCAGCCAUACCGCGUGGGUGAAGAAGGCCUUCGGGUUGUAAAGCCCUUUUGUUGGGAAGGAAAAGCAGCAGGUUAAUACCCCGCUGUUCUGACGGUACCCAAAGAAUAAGCACCGGCUAACUUCGUG
This 492-nucleotide ribosomal RNA is filed under the name uncultured bacterium. Its description in RNAcentral is "partial 16S ribosomal RNA". It matches the Rfam family "Bacterial small subunit ribosomal RNA", at positions 29 to 507 of the family's 1533-position model. The record is from RNAcentral.